AAUUUGAUCAGGGCACAGGUAGCCAGAUACUGAGGUCCGUGGACAUAUUUCAGUCACCAGCGGUUACCACCAGCUCAUUCUGUGUACCCGCUCACAUUGUCUGUUGCCACACAGGCCGAGAACAGUGACAACGCUCCACUCACGCACGGAUUGCUGUGAUUGCGCAUCCUCCUCUUGCGCAGAGAUGUCUCCUUCGAGGCUGUCAUUGCGCCAUUUCAAGGGAAUGAGAGGAGCCGCUUUGAUUGGCUUUGAUUGAAGUCUGCCGUAAACACACCCACAGUGGCGCAACCUGCCCACUCUCAGAUCCGCCGAGCUGCUCUGGUCUACGAAAUUAUGAACACCGGUCUAACCCGCUCCGGGCGCACGCACGAUUGCGCCUCCCAUUAAAUUACAGAAACUUCAUUACAGAACCUCUGAACUCAAUCGCAUCAAACACAACAGGAAUGAACUAAAAGAGUGUUACAAGCAAGCCACGCUCUCUCUCAGGUCCAACAUCAGUGACCUCUGACCCCACAAAUGUUCUUCUGGAUCAAUGGACAAACAUCUCACACUCCUCCAAAGUCUUACAGCCCCCCCAUAUCGUUUUCCCUUGUCACUUCCUUUGAACGGUGAGGAUCACCACCAGCAGCAGCUUCAUUGACUGACGCUCUUUCUCACCUCGAGGCUUCCCCGCCCGGUCACUCCCACUUUGACGCCCUCACCCCACCCCCAAACACUCCCAGCGCCACUCGGGAGGCUAUUUUUUGCCACUCUUCACUAAAUAAGGCUGUGUAACAUGGCCAGGGUAGCCGGCUGGCGAAGGGGUGUGCGCCCCUCGCUGGUACCUUGGUAUAAAAAUGCCAGGACAGAUGGGAUUUCCUCUGAUCGCCCUCCACCUCACUCUCUUUCUCUCUGUCUCUCUUGCUUGUCCCCCUUUCCCAAAUAUACACCCUUUAACUCCAUUCUGUCUAACCUGCUUUGCUCAAUUUGUAACACUCUGCUGAUCAAAUAGUGGCCAAGAAGCUUUUUUUUUUCACAUUGAUAAUUGAUUCAUUUCGGAGGCUAUGACUUAUUAUUAUCACCUUUUGUUUUAAAGGAUUUUUUUUUUUCAAAGCGAUGACUAAGAGGAAUAUGAUGGGAAAAGGACAAGAAGGCCAACAAAAAGAGUAAGCAAUAAUUGAGAUUAUUUGUCAGAGAAGUCGGUGCUACGGAUGAUUUAUUGCAAUACAACCUUUAGUUGGCAAAUAAACCUACCUUGAAUUAUAUUCUAUGCAUUAAUGUAUUCUAUAGUAUUUUUUUUGUAUGUUUAUUUGUGUGCAAGAUUAUAACAAUCUACUUAAGACAUGUUCCGCUAUUUAUACUGAAGGAGGACAGCAAACAACAAGGAUGCAAACAAGGAUUUAUACCACACUGUGGUAUAAAUCCUUGUUUGUUAUUAUUCUGAAAAUUACUGUAUGUUAUUUAUUUUUCUAUUCGAUUAAGUCAAUAUCUGAAAAAAAAAAAAUCCUGAAUAUGCACUUGUAUCCGGGAUUUGCAGCCCAAAAGAUGUAUUUGAUUUUUUUGGGGGGGGUUUAUUUUGAUCUGCUCACACUGGAACUCUUUAUUAACCAUUCUCUUACCUUUCUCAUACUGCCAAAUAGUUGUCCUCUUUGAUUUGUCUUACUCGUUCCAUCCUCCAUGUGUUCUCCUCACCCAUCGCCCCCCCUCGCCACUUGCACGCCUCUCUCACGUCCCCAUUUGUCCUUCAGCUCCGUCAGCGUUCGCUCACUAUCUCGCUCCAUCUCCUCCUUUUCCUUCCUCGGCCACCUCGUCUGCUUGUCCUCUGUCCGCAGUGGACGGACAGCUGACACAUUUCCCUGCUCAGUCAUCACUUCACAGCCAUUCCUCUUACACAAACCUCUCAGUGGUUAUUGGCGCCUUUUUUUUUUUUUUUUUGCCAUCAAUUUCUGCCCUCCACCUCCUCGUUUUCCCCCUUCUUUCUUUCCUUCCUUCCUUCCUCCUCCUCCUCUCUCAUUAUAACCUUAAAGAGAGAGCAAGAGAGAGAGCAAGAGAGAGAGAGAGAGAAAGAGAGAGAGAGAGACAGAGGCAAGGCAAGUCCCAUGACCCUUUCCUUUUCUCUCCUGUCCUCUCUUUCACUCCUCUUCCUCUCCGCAUCUUCAAAGUCUCCAUCGCUGAUUCAGCUCCAAGCGAGGAGGAGGAGGAGAGCCACCGCCUGCAGCGAGCGCCUCACCCCGUACGGGCCGCCAGCCUCAUCUGGACCACUUUGAUUCCGGUGUCCAUCCGGAGUGCUUCUCCAGAUGCAGCGACCUUCUGUCCCAGAAUCCGCUUCCUCCCCAUCCCCAACAGCUUCUGUAAAUGCUUUGCUAAAGCUGGUAAAAUGGAACCAAAUCAACUGUUCAAUGGAUUUGGUCCCCUUCAACCAGCUGUAGCUGUGCAUUGAUCGCUCCGACUACUUACCCCACCCCCCUCCACCCCUCACUCCGUCUCACGCACGCACAUGAAAAUAUGAGGAACCAGUGUCUGUACAGAAAAGUCAUGUUACACGAGCCUCAACAGCCACACUUAAAAACAUAUAAACUAUGUUAUCUUGAAUGAUGGUGAAAGGAAACUGCGUUGCUUUAAAUGCAUGUUUUGUUUUGGGGUUUUUUUCUGAGUGCAUGCCCCGCCCCCAAAUAAAAACAAAUAAAAAUACAAA
This is a long non-coding RNA of Phyllopteryx taeniolatus (common seadragon), 2674 nucleotides long. RefSeq lists it as uncharacterized. The transcript is spliced from 2 exons. NCBI's taxonomy places the organism in Eukaryota, Metazoa, Chordata, Actinopteri, Syngnathiformes, Syngnathidae. The record is from RefSeq and is a predicted model, not a curated record.